RNAcentral lists this ribosomal RNA (774 nucleotides) under uncultured Neocallimastigales. RNAcentral describes it as "partial large subunit ribosomal RNA". It matches the Rfam family "Eukaryotic large subunit ribosomal RNA", at positions 22 to 638 of the family's 3401-position model. Lineage: Eukaryota; Fungi; Neocallimastigomycota; Neocallimastigomycetes; Neocallimastigales. The record is from RNAcentral.
UGUGUAUCAGUACAUGGCAUAUCAAUAAGCGGAGGAAAAGAAACUAACAAGGAUUCCCCUAGUAACGGCGAGUGAAGCGGGAAGAGCUCAAAUUUGAAAUCUUAAAGGGUUUCCCUUUACGAAUUGUAGUUUAAAGAAGUGUUUUCUGUUGGAGUUUCGGUAAAAGUUCUUUGGAAUAGGACAUCAUAGAGGGUGAGAAUCCCGUAUUUGACCGUUACUUUCCAGCUGUGUGAUACACUUUCAAAGAGUCGGAUUGUUUGGGAAUGCAGUCCAAGAUGGGUGGUAAACUUCAUCUAAAGCUAAAUAUUGGCGAGAGACCGAUAGCGAACAAGUACCGUGAGGGAAAGAUGAAAAGAACUUUGAAAAGAGAGUUAAACAGUACGUGAAAUUGUCAAAAGGGAAGCGUUUGACACCAGUGUUGUUUAGUUGAAAAUCAAUUCAAUAGUUUUUGAUUCUAAGUAGUAUUGACUUCAUCAGCUUGCUGCUUUCUUCUCAGAAAUUAUUGAAUGCACUUUUCAGUUAACAAGUCAACAUCAAUUUCUUUUGUUGUAAAAGGGUAAGAGGAAGGUGGCUUGCGCUUCGGCUCAAGUGUUUAUAGCCUUUUAUCUCUGCAAUCGGAGAGAUUGAGGUCUGCAGCGUAGAUCCUUCGGGGUUAGAUACAUUGGUGCUAAGCUAUAGCCUUGUAUAGACAACUUGUUGACUAUGCUCAGUCAUGUAGCUUACUCGCUGAUGCUAUUUACCUACGCUUAGGAUGUUGACAGCAGUAUAGACUGU